GCUCAGUAGACAAUCUUUCCUCAUUUCGUUAACACACUCACAGCACCUUUAAGCAAACCAAUAAUAUACAGAAGAAUUUCCCCAAAGCAACAAACAGCAACAGUAGCUAAAUGAAAUACCCAAAGAUAAAACGAAUAGAUAUAUAAAUACACAUAAAUUAUUUUCCAUUAUAAAAAGAGCUUCAAUAGAUCCGUGUGUUGUUCGCCGACUUAUAUAUUAACCAGCUAUAUUUAAUCAAACCACAUUAAAUUGAAUUAACUAAAUGUCAACGUGCGUGUCAAGUGCAAAAAGCUAAAUCCUUCGUCCUGUUGUUGUGGCUGUCGUCUCCUGAAACUUUAAACGAAAGAAAAGUUUGGCAGCCAUGAAAACCCCCGACUUUGAUAACAAACUGCGCGUAUAAACUGCAAUGGGAAAUGAGCACACAGGGAGAAGCCAUUGUGAAACUGUGAAAGUGUAAUCAAAUAAAUUCCCUCGCUGAAUAAUCCGAGUCGCAGAAUAAAGGUCAAAUCGUAGAAAAUGUGCAUAAAAACCUGCAAAGACAUUAAAUUCGGUGAACAUAGCGACGGAGGCCAUGAAGGUGGAGAGAACAUAGUCAUCCGCACAUCCAAAUCUGAUUACGAGCACUUCCAACUUCAACUGCAGCUGCAGGCCAGGCUAAACAAACAAAAGCACAAAGGCUACAAAUUGCCCAACUUUAAGAUUCUCAUGUGUUGCUGCUACUUCAUCAUCAUUGUAUUGAUGAUAUGAAAACAAACUACCAUGCAAUGAAACUCGAUCUCCAACCAAAAAUGCUUCAAUUAUAUAGAUAAAUGCCAACAUAUUGAAACCACAAAAGCGAACCAGAAAUUAUUGUUCAACUAAACUCAUAGAAAAGAUCUCAUUCGAUUGCUGUCUAUAGUAUAAACCAUCAGUUAUUUCAAUACAUGUGUUACAACAAAUUAAAUGAAUUAAAUAUAUAUAUGUAUAAAUAUAUGUGUUUAGUUCAAUAACGAAGUUAAAUAUUUUCAAAUCUAGCUUAAAGAGAGCUAUAAGCUAAUGUUUUUUGUGUGUAAAGUGCAAUUGUUAAACCAUAAUCAUUGAAAAGCAUAUGUUUAACUGCAAAGCAAUCAAUAAUUCAAAUAACCUGUAGCUGCAAUAAUAAACACCAAUAUUCAGCAAUGAAAUCUACGAAUGGCUCCAGCAAGUGGCAUACAUUUUGAAAAUAAUACCUUCGUGAACCAUCACAACCAGCACAAUCCCAUAUCAUUUUGCACACUGGCGUAGGCCAAGAAACGGGCGGCGGAAAAGAAAAUGCUGCGAUUUCUCAAGAACCGAUAGACACGGCGUCCGCCCAGGCACCGUUAUCGUACCGCCCAUCUAUCUAAAUGUAUAUGCUUAGCUGUAUCUUUAUCCGUAUCUGUAUCUUCGUGUCAAGCUUAGCAUUAAAAUUGUAACAUUUGUGUAUAUUCAUAUGGAUUAGUCAUAAGUCCGGUUAUGCAUAAUAUGUUAUUCACAUGUUCCUUGCAGUAAAUCCGUCUCUGAAUCUAAGUUAAGAUAAUGCUGUGCAAUGAGCGAGUGAAAGCGAGAAGAAAAGUGGGAAAAUGUAGCAUUGUUACGAUGAUUAUCUGCUGAUUUACUCUAUGGGUGUAUUUUUGCAGCAGUUGUGCAUGUCUUAAAAUAAAAGAUAACCAGCUAGGGAGUAUUUGCCGCAGAAUUCACUUCCAAGUAGAGAACAAAGAAAUCAAGGAGCUGCAGGAUAACAUAAGAAGAUCAAAAGAAAUUCAAAACAAAAUAAUAUGAUAUAUGUAUAUGUGUGAGUUUAGAAUUUAGAUGCUUUUUGAUACCCCCAACAGACAUUAGCUAGGCGAAAGGCAAAAUAUGCAUUGAAAAUUUUAUAGAAAACAACGCAACUUAGGCAAAACAUACAUAUAUAUAUAUUUAAAUACCAAAUACUUUGUUUAAAUGGUCAUAAUCCCACAAGGAAAUCAAGCACAGCUCCAACUAAAAAAUGUCGAUGGAUACACCCAGACAAUACGCCCAAAAGUAUGCAAUUUGAUUGUGCAGAUAGAAUAUUUUUUAAAUGUUUAUAAGCAGAGAUUGAACUAUUUGUAAAACAUAUUUUAAUAGACACCGAAAACCAAAGAACAAACUUUUUGAAACAUAUUUUUUAUAUACAAACAAGACGACGAAAAAGUUGAACACUGCGAAUAUGCACAAAACAUAUAUCUUUCGGAUAACCCUAGCCUAAGUUAAACAUUUGUACAAUUUUCAUUUCGGAUACAUACACAUACACAUACACAUACAUUUACUUUCGAUGGUUUCACGACAACUUAUUUUAGGCCUGGCAUACGAACAUUCGGUUAAAGCUUAAGCAAGUAAUCCAAAGUACAAUCAUUUAUGUCAAACGGGACAACACCACAGCACACCAGAUAUAUUGGGCAAUGAUAAUUCUGAAAUAGAAAUACAAAGCGAUAAGGUUGAACAGUCGUUUUUACAGGGACAUAAGAGAUCGAAACACUUUUUGCUAACAAUUUUUUAAAAUUCGUUUUACACACUCGCUUUAUAAGAUUGCUAGGCGAUUUCAGGAUAGACC
Drosophila sechellia is the source of this 2572-nucleotide RNA transcript. RefSeq lists it as uncharacterized. Lineage: Eukaryota; Metazoa; Arthropoda; Insecta; Diptera; Drosophilidae. The record is from RefSeq and is a predicted model, not a curated record. The transcript is spliced from 5 exons.